UACGGGGGGGGCAAGCGUUGUUCGGAAUUACUGGGCGUAAAGGGCUCGUAGGCGGCCAACUAAGUCAGAUGUGAAAUCCCUCGGCUUAACCGGGGAACUGCAUCUGAUACUGGAUGGCUUGAGUUCGGGAGAGGGAUGUGGAAUUCCAGGUGUAGCGGUGAAAUGCGUAGAUAUCUGGAGGAACACCGGUGGCGAAGGCGGCAUCCUGGACCAGUACCGACGUUCAGGCACGAAAGCGUGGGGAGCAAACAGG
This 253-nucleotide ribosomal RNA is filed under the name uncultured bacterium. RNAcentral describes it as "partial 16S ribosomal RNA". It matches the Rfam family "Bacterial small subunit ribosomal RNA", at positions 524 to 776 of the family's 1533-position model. The record is from RNAcentral.